This 63-nucleotide transfer RNA is filed under the name Ephemera sp. XL-2019. RNAcentral describes it as "tRNA-Ala". It matches the Rfam family "tRNA". Rfam says of the family: Transfer RNA (tRNA) molecules are approximately 80 nucleotides in length. Their secondary structure includes four short double-helical elements and three loops (D, anti-codon, and T loops). Further hydrogen bonds mediate the characteristic L-shaped molecular structure. tRNAs have two regions of fundamental functional importance: the anti-codon, which is responsible for specific mRNA codon recognition, and the 3' end, to which the tRNAs corresponding amino acid is attached (by aminoacyl-tRNA synthetases). tRNAs cope with the degeneracy of the genetic code in two manners: having more than one tRNA (with a specific anti-codon) for a particular amino acid; and 'wobble' base-pairing, i.e. permitting non-standard base-pairing at the 3rd anti-codon position. Lineage: Eukaryota; Metazoa; Arthropoda; Insecta; Ephemeroptera; Ephemeridae. The record is from RNAcentral.
AGGACUGUAGUUAAUUAUAACAUUUGAUUUGCACUCAAAAAGUAUUGGUUUCAAUCUGUCUUA